AGUCGAACGCUUCAGCAAUGAAGAGUGGCAGACGGGUGAGUAACGCGUGGGAACCUUCCCAGUGGUACGGAAUAGCCCAGGGAAACUUGGGGUAAUACCGUAUAAGCCCUUAGGGGGAAAGAUUUAUCGCCAUUGGAUGGGCCCGCGUCGGAUUAGCUUGUUGGUGAGGUAAAAGCUCACCAAGGCGACGAUCCGUAGCUGGUCUGAGAGGAUGAUCAGCCACACUGGGACUGAGACACGGCCCAGACUCCUACGGGAGGCAGCAGUGGGGAAUAUUGGACAAUGGGCGCAAGCCUGAUCCAGCCAUGCCGCGUGAGUGACGAAGGCCUUAGGGUUGUAAAGCUCUUUUGGCGGGGACGAUAAUGACGGUACCCGCAGAAUAAGCUCCGGCUAACUUCGUGCCAGCAGCCGCGGUAAUACGAAGGGAGCUAGCGUUGUUCGGAAUUACUGGGCGUAAAGCGCACGUAGGCGGAUUUGUUAGUCAGGGGUGAAAUCCCGGGGCCCAACCUCGGAACUGCCUUUGAUACUGCAAGUCUGGAGUCCGGAAGAGGUGGGUGGAAUUCCUAGUGUAGAGGUGAAAUUCGUAGAUAUUAGGAAGAACACCGGUGGCGAAGGCGG
RNAcentral lists this ribosomal RNA (618 nucleotides) under uncultured bacterium. RNAcentral describes it as "bacterial SSU rRNA". It matches the Rfam family "Bacterial small subunit ribosomal RNA", at positions 60 to 724 of the family's 1533-position model. The record is from RNAcentral.